Molecule: long non-coding RNA, 1234 nt
Filed under: Populus tremula
Lineage: Eukaryota; Viridiplantae; Streptophyta; Magnoliopsida; Malpighiales; Salicaceae
Description: long non-coding RNA (PTRE_LNC001001)
Source: RNAcentral
UUUUUAUGUGAACAGAGCAAGACAGGAGAUCAGGGCAACAUCUUAAAUCCAAACCCUAUUUAUACAGAUCAUGGGUUUCCCUUUCUCUUGGAGAAAUUGAGCCAAUUUCAUAGGUUUUCUCUUCCAAUCUUGAUUUGUAAUAAAGGUAUUAAUUUCCUUUUUUAUUUUUUUCUUCAUGUUAUUAUUUGAAAUCUUCAAGUUUUGUUUAUUUAUUGUUUUGCUAAUUUGUUUUUUUAGAUGAUUUUUCAAUAUUCAAGCAUUGAGUUUUUAACUUUGUUGUUUAUUUUAGGCUCUUGAUGAUCAAAACAAUCUGUUCUUGGGUUUCACUGGAAUGUAGAAAACUAGCUGAUUGUUUUUGGUGUUCUAGGAAUUGGGUUCUUUAAUUUGGUUGAGCCUCACCAAUAAAAUGAGUUUUUUAGCCCUUUUUGUAUUGGGAUUUUGCAAUUUCAAAAUUGAUGUUAAUUGCUAGAUUGCUUUCAUUGCACUAAACUAAUGUUUUGUUUUUUAUUAACUUAAUUCCACAGGUCCUAAAAUUAAUAACCAUGUAAAUUUUUAGUGAUAAUCAUAUUAACAACCAUAAGGCUCGAACUUGAGAUUAUAGAAAAAACAAAUCUUCUAAUCCCAAGCUUAUAUCACUGAACUACCUACUAAAUAAUGUGCACCAAACUAAUGUUUUUUUAGCUAGUUGUUGGCUGAUGGUGAUUCAUGAAAGUCUUUUUUUUUUUCCUACCAAUUACAGGUUGGUAAAAAAAUUCAUCAGUCAGAAUUGAAUGAGAUUUUGAUGUUUUACGUUAACUUGAUUUUGAUGUGGUUGGUAGUCUGAACAUGAAAUCUUUAUUUUAUUUUUUCUACAUUGUUGCAGUGAACAAACACAUAGCUGUCAUCCAUUUUGUCAGCCAUGGUAGUAGUUGAAAGAUGAAUUCUUAUGACUAAAUUUCUUAAGACCCACUCUACGUUCAUUCUUUACAUGCUUGCAGGUAUUAAGAAUUUGCAAGGCUUGCUUUGUUGCUUCUAAUUUUUCAGUUGUCUGUAAAAAUGGUUGUUUCUCACGGUGGAUUACAUUUUAGGUAAUGAUUUCUUACUUAUUUGUUGGGUUUUGGCAGGUAAUUACGGAGAUUAAAGUGACAACUAUUUAUUUAUUUUUGUUGUUGAGCCGGGUAUCCCACAUCUAUUUUUAAAGGGUUGGACUAGUCUUGUUUAGGGUUCGUGGCUGCUUCUUUAAAUAAAUAUGCUU